RNAcentral lists this unclassified non-coding RNA (475 nucleotides) under Hevea brasiliensis (rubber tree). The record is from RNAcentral. Lineage: Eukaryota; Viridiplantae; Streptophyta; Magnoliopsida; Malpighiales; Euphorbiaceae.
GCUUUCGUUCAUUUACUAAUACUACUACAGCUUCAAAGUACAGAUAACAGUGAUGUAUACAGAAAUAUCCGGAUGUCUUCAUCGAAACCCCAAGCGGCCCAUGAAAAAUACCAAACGAACCAAGGACCACAACUUUGUUUCAAGAAAAAAAAACUAAAAAAACAACAAAUAGCCCAUCUAAAAACAUCCUCGCUUCUUUCAUUCAUUCACUCCAAAUAGAGGUUUCUGUCUCGUCCCUCAGUCCCCCACUUGGUGAAUUCGAAAUUCCAAGCAACUUCUGAGAGGGGUUACCAGGUGAAUACAUCAAAUCACAUAAGAAUCAUAUCUCUGGGAUAAUUCAUUAACUAUCGCUUACUUAAUAAGAAGCUUGCUCAACCAAAACCAAGACAUCUGGCCUUGUCCAUAAUCAUCACCAAAUGGAAUGAUGAACUAUAUCAAUCCCUGGCGUUGAAGAUCAGUAUAUGUCUUUUUGUUG